GGCAGUGACAUGUUGCGAGGUGUCUCUGGCGGCCAGAGAAAAAGGGUUACUACAGGAGAAAUGAUUGUGGGGCCAAGAAAGACCUUAUUUAUGGAUGAAAUAUCCACUGGACUUGAUAGUUCAACAACGUACCAAAUAGUGAAAUGUAUAGGGAAUUUUGUUCAUCAAAUGGACGCAACUGUACUAAUGGCUCUUCUUCAGCCUCCGCCUGAGACAUUCGAUCUGUUUGAUGAUUUGGUGCUAUUAUCAGAAGGCUACAUGGUGUAUCAAGGGCCACGAGCUCAAGUUUUACAGUUCUUCGAGUCUCUAGGAUUUCGAUUACCACCAAGGAAGGGCGUUGCAGAUUUUCUUCAAGAGGUGACCUCAAUAAAGGAUCAAGCACAGUACUGGGCUGAUCCUUCAAAACCAUAUGUAUUCAUGCCUGUUUCAGAAAUUGCAGAGGCAUUCGAUAAUUCCAGGUUUGGAAGGGCUGUGAAGUCCACACUUUCUGUUCCAGUUGACAAAUCCAGUUAUCAUCCUUCAGCUUUGUCAAAAACGAGAUAUGCCGUGUCAAGAUGGGAGCUCUUAAAAGCAUGCUUUGCUAGAGAAAUACUACUGAUCAAGCGGCAUCGUUUUCUUUAUUGGUUUAGGACAUGCCAGGUCUUUUUUGUUGGAUGCAUCACUUGCACUAUAUUCUUACGGACAAGAUUGCAUCCCACCAACGAGUCAUAUGGGAGUCUAUAUCUUUCUUGCCUCUUUUUUGGGCUGGUGCACGUGAUGUUUAAUGGGUUUUCCGAACUAUCUCUACUGAUAUUUCGACUCCCAGUCUUCUACAAGCAACGGGAUAAUCUCUUUCAUCCUGGAUGGGCAUGGUCUCUAGCCAGUUUUGUUCUACGUAUACCCUACUCUGCUGUUGAAGCCUUUGUAUGGUCUUUGGUUGUAUACUACACUGUUGGUUUUGCCCCUGCUUUUGGAAGGUUCUUGCGUUUUAUGUUCUUACUCUUUACAGUGCACCAAAUGGCAUUGGGUCUCUUUCGGAUGAUGGCUUCGAUAACACGAGAUAUGGUUAUUGCCAAUACAUUUGGGUCAGCUGCUCUGUUGAUUGUAUUUUUAUUGGGUGGAUUUAUCAUUCCUAAAGAAUCGAUUAAGCCUUGGUGGAUUUGGGCUUUUUGGGUGUCACCAUUAACCUACGGACAACGAGCAAUUUCAGUCAAUGAAUUUGGUGACGAAAGGUGGAUGAAGAGAUCUGCAAUUGGGAAUAAUACAAUUGGAUACAAUAUUCUCCAUGAGCAUAGUUUGCCAAUGAAUGAUAAUUGGUAUUGGAUUAGCAUCGGUGUUUUAUGGCUCUAUGCGGUGCUUUUCAACCUCGUUGUGACUUGGGCCUUAACCUAUCUUAAUCCUCUCCGGAAGGCUCAAACAGUGGCUGAUCCAGUUGAUGCCACAGAAGAAAAUUCUGCUAGAAAUGCUAAUCAGGGGACUCAGUUGAAUGGAACAUCUGCUAAGGAGGACAAUAAAAAGACGGGCAUGAUUCUUCCAUUUAAACCAUUGACAAUGACAUUCCAUAAUGUCAAUUACUUCGUUGAUAUGCCAAAGGAAAUGUGUAAACAAGGUAUACCAGAAAAGAAGUUGCAGCUUUUGUCAAAUGUGAGUGGAGUAUUUUCACCAGGAGUUCUCACUGCAUUGGUUGGGUCAAGUGGAGCAGGAAAAACUACUCUGAUGGACGUGCUUGCUGGCCGGAAAACUGGGGGAUAUAUAGAAGGGGAUAUUAAGAUAUCAGGUUACCCUAAAGAGCAACGCACAUUUGCUAGAAUUUCAGGAUAUGUUGAACAAAAUGAUAUACAUUCUCCUCAGGUUACUGUUGAGGAGUCUCUCUGGUUUUCUUCCAGUCUUCGGCUUCCAAAAGAAGUUACCAAAGAACAAAGACAUGAGUUUGUUGAAGAAGUAAUGAGAUUGGUAGAACUCAAUAAUCUACGGAAAGCAUUGGUUGGUUUGCCAGGUACUAGUGGCUUAUCAACUGAACAGAGAAAGAGAUUAACAAUUGCAGUUGAGCUUGUUGCAAAUCCUUCCAUUAUUUUUAUGGAUGAACCAACCUCCGGACUUGACGCACGAGCAGCAGCAAUUGUGAUGCGAACUGUUCGUAAUACCGUUGAUACUGGAAGAACAGUGGUUUGCACCAUUCAUCAGCCAAGUAUUGACAUUUUUGAAGCAUUUGAUGAGCUACUUCUCAUGAAACGAGGGGGACAGGUUAUAUAUGGAGGAAAGCUUGGCUUGCACUCACAGAUUAUGAUAGACUAUUUUCAGGGAAUUGCAGGAAUCCCUCCUAUUACUGAUGGCUACAACCCAGCAACUUGGAUGCUUGAGGUUACUACUCCUACCGUUGAAGAAAGGAUUUGUGAAGAUUUUGCUGAGUUAUAUAAAAAUUCUGAGCAAUACAGGGAGGUGGAAGCUUCAAUUAUGCAUUUCAGUGCUCCGCCUGCAGGCUCAGAACCAUUAAAGUUUGUUUCUACAUAUUCACAAGAUAUAUCGACUCAGUUUGGGAUUUGCCUUAGGAAACAAAAUCUUGUAUACUGGAGAAGUCCACAAUACAAUGCCGUGAGGAUAUUUUUUACUGUAUUAGCUGCAUUUAUAUUAGGCUCAGUGUUUUGGAAAACUGGUUCAGAAAGGGACUCUACUCAAUCUUUGUUUAUUGUCAUGGGAGCUCUAUACUCUGCCUGUCUGUUUCUUGGGGUCAAUAAUGCUUCCUCAGUGCAGCCAAUAAUUUCUAUUGAGAGGACGGUGUUCUAUAGAGAAAAGGCAGCUGGAAUGUACUCUCCAUUAGCCUAUGCCGCAGCACAGGGUCUUGUGGAAGUACCAUACAUCAUUUUGCAAACAAUUUUAUAUGGAAUUAUCACAUAUUUCAUGAUUAAUUUUGAAAGGACGGGCGGCAAAUUUUUCCUCUAUUUGUUGUUCAUGUUCCUUACUUUCACCUACUUCACAUUUUAUGGAAUGAUGGUUGUUGGUCUCACGCCUUCUCAACACAUGGCCGCUGUCGUCUCCUCAGCAUUUUACUCUUUAUGGAAUCUCCUCUCAGGUUUUCUUAUCCCAAUGCCUAAAAUCCCAGGAUGGUGGAUCUGGUUCUAUUACAUCUGCCCCGUUGCAUGGACUUUGCGGGGCAUCAUCAUUUCUCAGCUUGGUGAUGUGGAGAGCACAAUUGUAGGACCAGGUUUUGAAGGCUCUGUCAAAGAGUUUUUGAAAGUUAAUUUUGGCUUUGAAUCUGAUAUGCUUGGAGUUUCAGUGGUGGUGCUUGUUGGCUUCUGCGUCAUCUUCUUUGCUAUCUUUGCAUUCUCUGUGAAAUUCCUUAACUUCCAGAGAAGAUGAGCAGUGGAUUCAUUUAUUGAAACAGGGGGUCCUGCCUGCAGGGGACAAUUUUUUACCCUAGAAUAAUGGUUUUGAGGCCUUUGAUGUUGGUUGAGUUACGGGUUCAGUUGACUUGAGGGGUCUGCAAUUGUCCUGAAACACAUUUUGGCAAGGUUAUGGUGGCAUUGGAUAUGAGACUUGUAAUGGUGUGGUCACUGUGCAAGCAGUUGCUUUCAGGCAAGUUUAAAAUUGCAUUUGGGAUAUCAAAGCUUGAAACGCUUGUAGGGAGGGAAAUUUAGCUUGGGACAGCUGCCUUGCAUUAGGCUAUGGCUGAUAUUGUGGUAGAGCUGCUGCAAAAGUGAUGAGGGAGAGGAGCCUGUUGGCCAAGGACAUGUAGGCAACUGUAUCUUUUAACAAUUUUCAGCGACUUUUUUAAUGGAUUAGCUUGUUUGUACUUUAUAGGAUCACAAGGAAUGUUGACUCGGUGUUCAUAGUUACAGCAUACUUAAAGUUGAAUUUGAAAGCUGCCAAGCUUUCUGAUAUUGAUAUGUUAUUAUUUGCUUCCCACAAAAGUAGAUCUAGAAAGGGAG
This 3905-nucleotide unclassified non-coding RNA is filed under the name Hevea brasiliensis (rubber tree). The record is from RNAcentral. Lineage: Eukaryota; Viridiplantae; Streptophyta; Magnoliopsida; Malpighiales; Euphorbiaceae.